UACGUAGGGGGCAAGCGUUGUCCGGAAUUAUUGGGCGUAAAGAGCUCGUAGGCGGUCUGUCGCGUCGAUCGUGAAAACUUGGGGCUUAACCCUGAGCUUGCGGUCGAUACGGGCAUGACUGGAGUUCGGCAGGGGAGACUGGAAUUCCUGGUGUAGCGGUGAAAUGCGCAGAUAUCAGGAGGAACACCGGUGGCGAAGGCGGGUCUCUGGGCCGAUACUGACGCUGAGGAGCGAAAGCGUGGGGAGCAAACAGG
RNAcentral lists this ribosomal RNA (254 nucleotides) under uncultured bacterium. Its description in RNAcentral is "partial 16S ribosomal RNA". It matches the Rfam family "Bacterial small subunit ribosomal RNA", at positions 524 to 776 of the family's 1533-position model. The record is from RNAcentral.